AUCAAGCAAAUCUAACAGUUUUCACUCCGCGCUUAGCGCCGACUUCUAUUCGGGUGGUACGACGCGUCCGACAGCUAGCAGAGCAUAGACUGGCAAUAACGAACGAAGAUGAAACUUAAUAAGCCGAGGCAUGAACUUAUCAAGUUCGGCCUACUGCAAGCAUCGAUUCAACCAAAACACCGGAAGAGAACAAGAUAGCAAACAACAGCAGAACCGUGACUAGUUCUGCUCGCACGACCUGAUGCAACACGGUUGUAGACGAAGCUUUGAAGUCGUUUGAUUAUUACUCCGCGUUGCCAGCGAUUGUCUACGGGAUGCAACCCUCUUAAGGCUGCUGACAGUAGCACGAGCACAAUUAAGGCCGCACGCAAUCUUUUCGGUGGAUGGUCGGGCACCUUUGCUAUGAGAGGCCGGUCACCUUAACGGUCAGUUAACGCUGCAACAGCUGUCAAGGCACGUGUCUACACUAAAUUUGAUAACAAUGUUGUUACGACUGGAGGUAUUGCUGUGGCAAGCCAAGUCUCUCUAUGAUUUGACUGAAGCGGAAUUGCAGCGACAGAGGGAAGCAAAUGACGAAGGAGCGCGCGAAAUGGGACCGGGGUAAUCCUACAGACUUCGAGAAGGGAUGAUGAUUGUUAAUAGAGUCCGCCUCUUGCCAACUGGCGUCUAUCUGUAGUAAAAAUGCCGCAUUAAGAGUAUAUAUACACCUGUACCGUUACGCGCCGCUUCUAGAAGCUUAUCUUUACGCAUUCGCGCUUCUAGCUAAAACGCACGAAAGUGUAUGAAGCAGCCACCCAAACAGAAGAAAUUGAAAUGUGUCAAUUGCAGGUUUCACUACGACGACAUAUAAAUGCAACAGGAACACUGUAUUCGACGCGUCUCUCUUCUAGGCGUAGCUGUGCGAUUUCAGCUCUAGUUAGUUUCAUCCUGUAAAAAUGUGCACGAAGGAUAGAAACGAAUGGCCACACACGUUUCUACCUAAAGGGAAAAGUGUGCUUGUCCCAUAGACCGACGACAGCAACCCCUUUUUUAGACCCCGCCUUUGAAGAAACCCCGCCGCACCGGACUGAAAAUUGCACCGUGUUUACCUGUGUUUAACAUUUCCUCAUUUGUAGAUGCCAGCUUAAUUAGCAAGUGGCGACCAUGUAGUUGUUCUACAUGCUUAAGAAAAACAAAGCUCGGACGUAUAACCGGCGACUCACUCAAUAUGGCCGCGGCGAUUGAAAGACGAUGCUGACAACGUACUGUAACUAACGGACGAAACGGGAACUCACUUCUGAACAUCAAGUUUCUCCGUUACAUUGCACUAAAUCAAACAACGCCGCCAAACAUAAAUUCGUGUGAACUUUGUUGUGCCUCAAGUUGACGAGAAUGAGCUUUUCUCGAAGACGAAAUAGUCCUACCAGCUUUCGAUAGCUGCGUAAUAACUAGAGGGUUAUUUUUCGCAGUGUGAAAGGUCGACGUCGUGUAUGCUGUAAUGGUUGAAGACCCCAACUUUGAGGUGCGUACUUGGAUGCUGAGACAGUCUUCCAGGAGUGAAAACACGGAUUGAGUAUGAAAAGAUUCGCCUGCUGAACCCGGGGUUUCCCUGCCAUCCAAGGGAAUAAUCUAUAAAAUCCGAGAUCAGUCUGGGCGGUUUAUGCGAUCGCCAGAUUUCAUUCGAAAGGCUUUCUUUGUUAGGACGUAACGAAAGACCACGUUCGUGUGGGAGCCAAAACCAAUAGAUGAGACGAAGGCGUACGUGGCGUGGCGGCUGUAUGUAAAUAUCGAUGGAAUGGAUCACUGGACAUACUUUAAUGUCUCGUUAACUAGAAGCAUUUAAAGUAUUGGACACAUAAAAUGAUAAAGAAUACAAAAUUUAUAGUUGCCGGUCAGAGCAUUGGGCCACUUUGGCGACGGAAAUCUUAAACGCUCGAUCCGUCAACGUCGCACUUAUGGAGCGGAUAGACUUAAGCCUGUUGUUGUUGUUGUUGGUAAACGGCAAUAGUUGUUUAACAGGCAUUCGCUAUAGCUUGCAGCGAAUGAUACUGGCUUAUUUGAUGUGGGUAGACCUAUAUCCGUUUUUAAAUCCAUACCUAUAAGUAGACUACCGCAUCACUGAACAGUACUUACCAACUUCGGCCACCGGCGCACUACAUCGGUCGCUAUUCGAUCCGAUUCUAUUGGUUACUAGAAUCGGUAUGUGAUGUGGACACAUACA
RNAcentral lists this long non-coding RNA (2200 nucleotides) under Varroa destructor (honeybee mite). RNAcentral describes it as "uncharacterized LOC111251412, transcript variant X1". The record is from RNAcentral. Lineage: Eukaryota; Metazoa; Arthropoda; Arachnida; Mesostigmata; Varroidae.